CACUCACCCAAUAAUCUGAGGGGGCGAUCCCUGAACCACCAUUGACAUCAUAGAGGUCAAUUAGUGACCCAGUUGGACUAAGAACUUGGCGGUUCAGGGAUCACCCCCUCAGAU
This is a non-coding RNA of Pelobates cultripes (western spadefoot toad), 114 nucleotides long. Lineage: Eukaryota; Metazoa; Chordata; Amphibia; Anura; Pelobatidae. The record is from the annotation of a GenBank genome assembly.